AGGAUAAACGCUGGCGGCGUGCCUAACACAUGCAAGUCGAACGCCCUUUAGCUUCGCAAGGAGUGGGAGGGAGUGGCGGACGGGUGAGGAACACGUGGGUGACCUACCUUUCAGUGAGGAAUACCGGCGAGAAAUCGCCGACAAGACCGCAUACGCUUCUCUAUUCGCAGAGGGAAGGAAAGCUUCACGAGAGUGAGGCGCUGGAAGAUGGGCCUGCGGCCGAUUAGCUAGCUGGUGGGGUAACGGCCUACCAGGGCGACGAUCGGUAGCUGGUCUGAGAGGACGAUCAGCCACACUGGGAUUGAGAACGGCCCAGACUCCUACGGGGGGCAGCAGUGAGGAAUUUUCGGCAAUGGGGGAAACCCUGACCGAGCAACGCCGCGUGCAGGAAGACGGCCUUCGGGUUGUAAACUGCUUUUCUUUGGGACGAGCAAGGACGGUACCAGAGGAAUCAGCCCCGGCUCACUACGUGCCAGCAGCCGC
Molecule: ribosomal RNA, 483 nt
Filed under: uncultured bacterium
Lineage: Bacteria
Description: SSU rRNA
Rfam family: Bacterial small subunit ribosomal RNA
Source: RNAcentral